This 1150-nucleotide long non-coding RNA is filed under the name Numida meleagris (helmeted guineafowl). RNAcentral describes it as "lncRNA (ENSNMEG00000002628.1)". Lineage: Eukaryota; Metazoa; Chordata; Aves; Galliformes; Numididae. The record is from RNAcentral.
GCUACAAAUGUCUCUAAUGCUCAGUGUAGGCAUGAACGCAGUGCCUGGAGUUUGCUGUCCAAGUAAUCUUAACCCAAAUUGUAAUGUCAAAGCAAUUGUUGAACUAACUGUAACUUUAAUCCCAUAUCUAGCUUAAAUUAGAACCCUCAUGCUUCAAAAUAUCAUUGUUCUAUCCCUAGAACAAUUACUUACUGUAAUUUUCCUCUUAAUGAAUGUUUCAAGCCUGUUUAGGAAUAGACAGACGCUGUCGUAAUGGUUACAGCCCCACCCUCUCCUAAUGCCGACUGCACUGGCAACUCGGAAUGCAACUCUGAAGAUGCACUGAGACCCUGCAUAUCCAGACCCUACUCAGACACCGUAGUGCUGCUGCCCCCUCCCCUGUCUCUCCCGUUUCUCUGGCACCGUUUCCAAUCUAGGUCUGCCGUUGCAGGACUUGACAGCUGAAAGAAGGUAAGCCCUCGGACCGCUGCACGCUGGGACCAGCACGGAGCGGCUCUGGGACGGGUGCGGUCGAGCCCGUGGAUCGUGCCCACAGCUGCACUCGGUGAGUUUCUGCAGCGCUGCUGAGCACGCAGGCUUCCCCGACCGUGCCCCAGUCACCUAACUCCUUUGUGUCGUCGUCAUCUCACAGCCCCAGGCACUUUGCUGCGGUGCUGCUGGUAAGAGCAAUGUGAAAAGGGUGCAGCCUCUACAUGUACGGGUCAGAGCCCUCAUUCUUGUUUUGUGCUGAACAGGUGGCAGCGGGGAACUGCGGUGCUCCUGUUUGGUGCCGGAACUGCAUGGAGAUCCAUGUGGCUCCUCAUGAAGUCAGCAAGACAUGGAAAUCUGGAUUUCCUGGAAUGCCUCGGAACCCUCCUUGUCUGUCUGGUAAUUGGUCGCCCAUAGAGCUCUGCAGCUGUGGGACUCAACGGCUCAAAGAAGGCCGGCCCUCGGACCACUGCACUCCGGGACCGGCAUGGGAUGGCUGUGAUGGGUCCAGUAGAGAACAUGGAUUGUACCGAUGGGUGCACUCAGUGAGUUUUCCAGUGCUGCUGAGCACUUGGAAUUCCCUGCUUGUCCACCUGUGCCCUGAUUACCAAACUCCUUUGCGUUGUCAUGUCUCACAGCCCCAGGUGUCUUGCUGCGGUGCUACUGGUAAGAGCGAUGUGCA